This 852-nucleotide ribosomal RNA is filed under the name uncultured Bacillota bacterium. RNAcentral's name for it is "bacterial SSU rRNA". It matches the Rfam family "Bacterial small subunit ribosomal RNA", at positions 58 to 914 of the family's 1533-position model. Lineage: Bacteria; Bacillati; Bacillota. The record is from RNAcentral.
CAAGUCGAGCGAGAAAAGGGGAGCAAUCCUCUGAGUAAAGCGGCGCACGGGUGAGUAACACGUGGGUAAUCUGCCCUGGAGUGGGGAAUAACACCGGGAAACCGGUGCUAAUACCGCAUACGAUAACGAUGUCUGCGGACGUUGUUAUGAAAGGAGCAAUUCGCUCCAGGAGGAGCCCGCGGCUGAUUAGCUAGUUGGUGAGGUAAUGGCUCACCAAGGCAACGAUCAGUAGCCGGUCUGAGAGGACGGUCGGCCACACUGGAACUGAGACACGGUCCAGACUCCUACGGGAGGCAGCAGUGGGGAAUUUUUGGCAAUGGGGGAAACCCUGACCAAGCAACGCCGCGUGGAUGAUGAAGUAUCUCGGUACGUAAAAUCCUUUCGACAGGGAAGAAACCGCAAGGUUGACGGUACCCGUAGAAGAAGCCCCGGCUAACUCCGUGCCAGCAGCCGCGGUAAUACGGGGGGGGCAAGCGUUGUUCGGAAUUACUGGGCGUAAAGGGCGCGUAGGCGGUUUGCUAAGUUGGACGUGAAAACUCUGGGCUUAACCCAGAGCCUGCAUCCAAAACUGGCAAGCUGGAGUAUUGGAGGGGGAAGCGGAAUUCCUGGUGUAGCAGUGAAAUGCGUAGAUAUCAGGAGGAACACCGGUGGCGAAGGCGGCUUCCUGGACAAUAACUGACGCUGAGGCGCGAAAGCUAGGGGAGCAAACAGGAUUAGAUACCCUGGUAGUCCUAGCCCUAAACGAUGGAUACUUGCUGUGAGGGGGAUUGAAUCCCUUCGUGGCGAAGCUAACGCAUUAAGUAUCCCGCCUGGGGAGUACGGUCGCAAGGCUGAAACUCAAAGGAAUUUGAC